RNAcentral lists this non-coding RNA (195 nucleotides) under Clostridium tyrobutyricum. Its description in RNAcentral is "T-box sequence". It matches the Rfam family "T-box leader". Rfam says of the family: Uncharged tRNA acts as the effector for transcription antitermination of genes in the T-box leader family. T-boxes are found upstream of many aminoacyl-tRNA synthetase genes and some amino acid biosynthetic genes usually in Gram-positive bacteria. The record is from RNAcentral. Lineage: Bacteria; Bacillati; Bacillota; Clostridia; Eubacteriales; Clostridiaceae.
UUAUAAACUAUGAUAGGGAAAAGUAAAUUUAUUAGUUUUAAAAGAGAGUGAGGAAUGGUGAAAACUCAUAAACAUUGUAAAUUGAAACUCACCCUUGAGUUGCAGGCUGAAUUAAAGUAAGCUGCGCCGGCAUAAGUCGUUAUAUAUAUUGAGUAAUAAUUUGGGUGGUACCGCGGCAGAUUUUUCGCCCCAUAG